Non-coding RNA from Odocoileus virginianus texanus, 1166 nucleotides. NCBI's taxonomy places the organism in Eukaryota, Metazoa, Chordata, Mammalia, Artiodactyla, Cervidae. The record is from RefSeq and is a predicted model, not a curated record.
CGCUCCGGCUGACGCGGCUGUUUCCGCAACCAGAGCAGCGGGCGGAGUCUCGCAACCUGGGCCGCGAGGUUCUAGUCUCGGCUGCCCAGCUCCUCGAGGUCUGCAGGGGGUUCGGGGACGCUUGGUGGCGCUAGGAACUGGGACGCUCUGAGGAUCCGUGGAAGCGAGGCGAGAGCAUCCGGAAAGCUCUAUUCCGCUCAGAGCUCCGAGGCAGCCUGAUCAAUUGUUAGAUUCGCCAGGGCUGGGGUUCCUGGUGACAGCCGCCGGAGACUGUGAUGUCACGGGGAAAGCCGAACUACACGGGCUGGAUUCGACUCAGCGGUCCAGUCUUCAUUUGCGUUAGCACAUCGUUGCCGAUGGCCUGUCUUUUCAUUAGGCUUCUGUAUCUUAUGCUCCCCAGUGCACACAACUUUGUGCCCGAUGAUGUAACUUUUCUUAUUCUUGACUUCUGAUUAGCAGCUUACCUUGUGACUCGUGGCUGGCUCCGGAAGACCAGGGGAGAAAGCAGUAGGCAACAAUUUCUUUCUUUUUUAAGAAACAGAUUAUUAGCUGCAGAGACAUCACUUUCUGCGCUAACAAGCAACAAAUGCUGAGAAGAAAAAAGCAAGUAGCCUGUAUAAAUGGAAACAUAAAGGAACGAAAUGGAGCAGAGAUCAGUUCUGCCUGGUUACACAGAGAUGCAGUCCCACAGCCUUGGUUGGCUGAACACAAGUCACAAGCUCCCAACAGUUUAAAAUCCUCUCAAGGACUUCAGCAGAAUCUAGGGGAGCCCAAGCGUGUCUGAGAACAGCGCUGGAUUUCUUGGUGGGGAUAUGAACUGUGGCUUGAUACACAAGUUAUCCUGUCUUUAAGUGUGAGUGAGAUGAUUUAUGACUUCAUUUACACCUCACCUCCUUCGAGAUUUCGCCACAGGACACAUCACGGCUCUCAGAAUUGGGAUGGAAGAAAAAAAUGCAGCUGUUGCAAGUAUCAAAUAGGAACAUACUGGUGAGAACUUUUUGCACACUCUAAUGCAAUAUGUAAAAGGUAUAUUGUAUGUUGAUUUUCACAUAGAAAUAAAGAUGACUCCUGUUUUAUUAAAGACUGUUCUGUAUGGAUCAAGUCAUGAUACAAGAUCAGCUCUGUUAUUUCUAUAUUGCAUAAUAAACAAGUUCCUCUGUAUUUAA